UCGAACGGAAAGGCCCUUUCGGGGGUGCUCGAGUGGCGAACGGGUGAGUAACACGUGGGUGAUCUGCCCUGCACUUUGGGAUAAGCCUGGGAAACUGGGUCUAAUACCGGAUAGGACUACGCGAUGCAUGUCGUGUGGUGGAAAGCUUUUGCGGUGUGGGAUGGGCCCGCGGCCUAUCAGCUUGUUGGUGGGGUGAUGGCCUACCAAGGCGACGACGGGUAGCCGGCCUGAGAGGGUGUCCGGCCACACUGGGACUGAGAUACGGCCCAGACUCCUACGGGAGGCAGCAGUGGGGAAUAUUGCACAAUGGGCGCAAGCCUGAUGCAGCGACGCCGCGUGAGGGAUGACGGCCUUCGGGUUGUAAACCUCUUUCACUAGGGACGAAGCGCAAGUGACGGUACCUAGAGAAGAAGCACCGGCCAACUACGUGCCAGCAGCCGCGGUAAUACGUAGGGUGCGAGCGUUGUCCGGAAUUACUGGGCGUAAAGAGCUCGUAGGUGGUUUGUCGCGUUGUUCGUGAAAACUCACAGCUUAACUGUGGGCGUGCGGGCGAUACGGGCAGACUGGAGUACUGCAGGGGAGACUGGAAUUCCUGGUGUAGCGGUGGAAUGCGCAGAUAUCAGGAGGAACACCGGUGGCGAAGGCGGGUCUCUGGGCAGUAACUGACGCUGAGGAGCGAAAGCGUGGGGAGCGAACAGGAUUAGAUACCCUGGUAGUCCACGCCGUAAACGGUGGGUACUAGGUGUGGGUUUCCUUCCUUGGGAUCCGUGCCGUAGCUAACGCAUUAAGUACCCCGCCUGGGGAGUACGGCCGCAAGGCUAAAACUCAAAGGAAUUGACGGGGGCCCGCACAAGCGGCGGAGCAUGUGGAU
This 871-nucleotide ribosomal RNA is filed under the name Mycobacterium sp. R13-29. RNAcentral's name for it is "bacterial SSU rRNA". It matches the Rfam family "Bacterial small subunit ribosomal RNA", at positions 62 to 946 of the family's 1533-position model. Lineage: Bacteria; Bacillati; Actinomycetota; Actinomycetes; Mycobacteriales; Mycobacteriaceae. The record is from RNAcentral.